RNAcentral lists this ribosomal RNA (253 nucleotides) under uncultured bacterium. Its description in RNAcentral is "partial 16S ribosomal RNA". It matches the Rfam family "Bacterial small subunit ribosomal RNA", at positions 524 to 776 of the family's 1533-position model. The record is from RNAcentral.
UACAGAGGGUGCAAGCGUUAAUCGGAAUUACUGGGCGUAAAGCGUGCGUAGACGGUUACAUAAGUCGGGUGUGAAAGCCCCGGGCUCAACCUGGGAAUUGCAUUUGAGACUGUGUAGCUAGGGUGCGGAAGAGGGAAGCGGAAUUUCAGGUGUAGCGGUGAAAUGCGUAGAUAUCUGAAGGAACACCAGUGGCGAAAGCGGCUUCCUGGUCCAGCACCGACGUUCAGGCACGAAAGCGUGGGGAGCAAACAGG